RNAcentral lists this ribosomal RNA (753 nucleotides) under uncultured Actinomyces sp. RNAcentral describes it as "bacterial SSU rRNA". It matches the Rfam family "Bacterial small subunit ribosomal RNA", at positions 28 to 776 of the family's 1533-position model. The record is from RNAcentral. Lineage: Bacteria; Bacillati; Actinomycetota; Actinomycetes; Actinomycetales; Actinomycetaceae.
GACGAACGCUGGCGGCGUGCUUAACACAUGCAAGUCGAACGAAAAUACCAAGCUUGCUUGGUUGAUUAGUGGCGAACGGGUGAGUAACACGUGAGUAACCUGCCCCUUACUUUCUGGAUAACUGCUCGAAAGGGUAGCUAAUACGGGAUAUUCUGGCCUUCCUGCAUGGGUUGGUUUGGAGAGGUUUUUUUCUGGUGAGGGAUGGGCUCGCGGCCUAUCAGCUUGUUGGUGGGGUGAUGGCCUACCAAGGCUUUGACGGGUAGCCGGCCUGAGAGGGUGGACGGUCACACUGGGACCGAGAUACGGCCCAGACUCCUACGGGAGGCAGCAGUGGGGAAUAUUGCACAAUGGGCGCAAGCCUGAUGCAGCGACGCCGCGUGAGGGAUGAAGGCCUUCGGGUUGUAAACCUCUUUCGUCAGGGAACAAGGCACUGCUUUUGGUGGUGUUGAGGGUACCUGGAUAAGAAGCGCCGGCUAACUACGUGCCAGCAGCCGCGGUAAUACGUAGGGCGCAAGCGUUGUCCGGAAUUAUUGGGCGUAAAGAGCUCGUAGGCGGCUGGUCGCGUCUGUCGUGAAAACUUCCGGCUCAACCGGGGGCUUGCGGUGGGUACGGGCCGGCUAGAGUGCGGUAGGGGUAACUGGAACUCCUGGUGUAGCGGUGGAAUGCGCAGAUAUCAGGAAGAACACCGAUGGCGAAGGCAGGUUACUGGGCCGUUACUGACGCUGAGGAGCGAAAGCGUGGGGAGCGAACAGG